RNAcentral lists this Y RNA (96 nucleotides) under Microcebus murinus (gray mouse lemur). RNAcentral describes it as "Y RNA (ENSMICG00000042163.1)". It matches the Rfam family "Y RNA". From Rfam's summary of the family: Y RNAs are components of the Ro ribonucleoprotein particle (Ro RNP), in association with Ro60 and La proteins. The Y RNAs and Ro60 and La proteins are well conserved, but the function of the Ro RNP is not known. Lineage: Eukaryota; Metazoa; Chordata; Mammalia; Primates; Cheirogaleidae. The record is from Rfam by way of RNAcentral.
GGCUGGUCCAGUGGUAGUGAGUUAUCAGAACUUAUUAACAUUAGUGUCACUAAAGUUGGUAUUCAACCCCCCACUGCUAAAUUUGACUGGCUUAAA